This is a long non-coding RNA of Balaenoptera ricei (Rice's whale), 729 nucleotides long. RefSeq lists it as uncharacterized. The record is from RefSeq and is a predicted model, not a curated record. NCBI's taxonomy places the organism in Eukaryota, Metazoa, Chordata, Mammalia, Artiodactyla, Balaenopteridae. The transcript is spliced from 3 exons.
CAGCAACCCAACUCUGGAGGUGAUGGUAGCCUCUCAGGAUCUUUCCCUUGGAGUUGGAAUGGAAAACAGAACUAGGUCUGUCCAGGUUGUCCCUGGAAGAUGCCUUGGAGAAGCCCAGCACCAGACUUCCAUCCUGAAGAUCUUCAUCCAGGUGUUUUUGGAUUGACUGCUCAGUGCUAGGCACUGUGUUUGCUGCUGAGUGCUGGACAGAGAGGGGAACAAGGCUCAGCCCCUGCCCACAAGGAUCUCGCCAUGCACAACAAAUACACCAUCUGACCAGCUGUCCCACCUGCAGCCUGUGAGCAGCUGCAAGUUUACAGCUUUGACAUCCACUUGAAAGAACACCAUGCCUGCUUCCACAGGUGAACCAAAUAUAUUUGACUGGUUCCAUUGGCCUCAUAUUGGUCUUACUAUGUCUUUCUCUGACCCUCAAUGACUUUUGCUCUCUAGGGUUGGAAAAGUUGGGACAAAUGGUCACUGAGCUUAUUGAGAAUGUUUUAUGAUGCUCUGUAAAAAUAGGGUCUUGGGUGAAAAAUACACAUGGUCUCAUUGGGAGAAGAAGGCAUCAGGAAAGGGAAGGGACUGGGGAUUGAAACUCCCUGGGCCUUGUGGCUCCAGCCUGCUGAGGACAGGAGCUUGGCUUUGAUGGCAGGCCUUUGGUGAUAUUUCUGGCUGCCUGUUCCCAAGGGUACGAACCGGAGUGUGUUCCCAGCUCACCACGGGGAACUU